GACGAACGCUGGCGGCGUGCUUAACACAUGCAAGUCGAACGGAAAGGCCCUGCUUUUGUGGGGUGCUCGCGUGGCGAACGGGUGAGUAACACGUGAGUAACCUGCCCUUGACUUUGGGAUAACUUCAGGAAACUGGGGCUAAUACCGGAUAGGAGCUCCUGCUGCAUGGUGGGGGUUGGAAAGUUUCGGCGGUUGGGGAUGGACUCGCGGCUUAUCAGCUUGUUGGUGGGGUAGUGGCUUACCAAGGCUUUGACGGGUAGCCGGCCUGAGAGGGUGACCGGCCACAUUGGGACUGAGGUACGGCCCAGACUCCUACGGGAGGCAGCAGUGGGGAAUAUUGCACAAUGGGCGGAAGCCUGAUGCAGCAACGCCGCGUGCGGGAUGACGGCCUUCGGGUUGUAAACCGCUUUCGCCUGUGACGAAGCGUGAGUGACGGUAAUGGGUAAAGAAGCACCGGCUAACUACGUG
This 468-nucleotide ribosomal RNA is filed under the name uncultured bacterium. RNAcentral describes it as "partial 16S ribosomal RNA". It matches the Rfam family "Bacterial small subunit ribosomal RNA", at positions 28 to 507 of the family's 1533-position model. The record is from RNAcentral.